Molecule: long non-coding RNA, 706 nt
Filed under: Brassica napus (rape)
Lineage: Eukaryota; Viridiplantae; Streptophyta; Magnoliopsida; Brassicales; Brassicaceae
Description: long non-coding RNA (BNAP_LNC001860)
Source: RNAcentral
UUAGAUUUAUAUAUAACUUAAGCUGCCCAUGUAGAAAACUUCAAUAUCUAUGACAUAAACAUCUACGUAGGUCUACACGUAGACUCAAUAAGAUGUAUGUUACUGUUCAAGAAAACAUACCUGUGUAACGUUUAAGCUAACUAAAUUCGACUAAAAUCCGACAUCUAGCUUAUCCAGGUACCUUUUUGUUCUUAUUUUUAUUUUUAUAUCUGACUAAUUAAUCAGUUAAUUGAAUAUCAAAACAUGUAUAGUGUAAUUACGUUUGCGCUCAAGGUCGUCCCCAGGAUUGGUUUGUUAAACCUCUCUUUCAAUGAGGAAAAGAGAUAUUACUAAAUUCAGUGUUGUUUUCUUUGCUUGUGUAGGUGAUGUCCUACUAGUAUCUUCUCUAAACCUUAUUUUGUCUGGGUUUCACCUGUACGUGUAUGUUUAAACCCGAUUAUUUUGUCAUUUAAUCCAUUCAAAUGUUAUAAAAUUUUACUUUUUCAAAUCAUAUAACACACUAAAGGAGGACGUAUAUAAGAGAGUUGGGUAAAAGCGAAAUAUGUAAAUCUAUAAAAGUAAAUCAAGAUUCUAAAUGAAAUGCAAGAUGUAAUGUUACAUAAUGCUUCAAAUAAUACAUAUAGGUGAUUUGGAAUAAAGUCAGGUAUUUGUACCAAUAACUACAAAACAUACACGAUUGGUAUCUCAAUUAUUUUGAUUCAUGAUC